Molecule: long non-coding RNA, 127 nt
Organism: Herpailurus yagouaroundi (jaguarundi)
Lineage: Eukaryota; Metazoa; Chordata; Mammalia; Carnivora; Felidae
Exons: 3
Source: RefSeq, a predicted model, not a curated record
UGGGUGCAGGACGAGGGGGAGGGCGGGGGAGGAAGGAUGAGGGCUGCCAGAAGAGGACUUGAGUGGAGGCUCAGAGGCGGGACAGCACCCAGGAAUUUCCGGAGUACCAAGAGGCCAACGGAAGGGG